GUGUAUGGUCAUACCACUCAGAUCCCGGAAGCUAUGCAGGGUGGAACCUAGCCAGUACUUAGAUGGGAGAGGCCUGGGAAUAUUGGGUGCUGUAGACU
This is a ribosomal RNA of Cercocebus atys (sooty mangabey), 98 nucleotides long. Lineage: Eukaryota; Metazoa; Chordata; Mammalia; Primates; Cercopithecidae. The record is from Ensembl.